GCCAGGUGUCGUGGUGGGCGCCUGUAAUCCCAGCUACUCAGGAGGCUGAGGCAGGAGAAUUGCUUGAGCCCGGGAGGCGGAAGUUGCAACGAGCCGAGAUCGCACCACCGCACUCCAGCCUGGGCAACAGAGCAAGACUCUGCCUCAA
Molecule: non-coding RNA, 148 nt
Filed under: Homo sapiens (human)
Lineage: Eukaryota; Metazoa; Chordata; Mammalia; Primates; Hominidae
Source: Rfam by way of RNAcentral